Molecule: ribosomal RNA, 505 nt
Filed under: uncultured bacterium
Lineage: Bacteria
Description: bacterial SSU rRNA
Rfam family: Bacterial small subunit ribosomal RNA
Source: RNAcentral
AGAGUUUGAUCAUGGCUCAGAAUGAACGUUGGCGGCGUGGAUUAGGCAUGCAAGUCGAGCGCGAACCGUAGCAAUACGGGGAGAGCGGCGAAAGGGAGAGGAAUACGUGGAUACCUACCCUCAGGUUCAGGAUAGCUGUGGGAAACUACAGGUAAUACUGAAUAAUAUCUCCGGAUCAAAGGUGAGAUUCCACCUGAGGAGGGGUCCGCGUCCUAUUAGCUUGUUGGCGAGGUAACGGCUCACCAAGGCGAAGAUGGGUAUGGGAUGUGAGAGCAUGAUCCCACUCACUGGGACUGAGACACUGCCCAGACACCUACGGGUGGCUGCAGUCGAGAAUCUUCGGCAAUGGGGGAAACCCUGACCGAGCGACGCCGCGUGUGAGAUGAAGGCCUUCGGGUUGUAAAUCACUGUCAGUGGGGAGGAAAUGCCAGUGGGUUAUCCCAUUAGUUUGACCUAUCCGCAGAGGAAGGACGGGCUAAGUUCGUGCCAGCAGCCGCGGUAAGAC